AUUAAACGCUGGCGGCAGGCCUAACACAUGCAAGUCGAACGGUAACAGGAAGCAGCUUGCUGCUUUGCUGACGAGUGGCGGACGGGUGAGUAAUGUCUGGGAAACUGCCUGAUGGAGGGGGAUAACUACUGGAAACGGUAGCUAAUACCGCAUAACGUCGCAAGACCAAAGAGGGGGACCUUCGGGCCUCUUGCCAUCGGAUGUGCCCAGAUGGGAUUAGCUAGUAGGUGGGGUAACGGCUCACCUAGGCGACGAUCCCUAGCUGGUCUGAGAGGAUGACCAGCCACACUGGAACUGAGACACGGUCCAGACUCCUACGGGAGGCAGCAGUGGGGAAUAUUGCACAAUGGGCGCAAGCCUGAUGCAGCCAUGCCGCGUGUAUGAAGAAGGCCUUCGGGUUGUAAAGUACUUUCAGCGGGGAGGAAGGGAGUAAAGUUAAUACCUUUGCUCAUUGACGUUACCCGCAGAAGAAGCACCGGCUAACUCCGUG
This 490-nucleotide ribosomal RNA is filed under the name uncultured bacterium. RNAcentral's name for it is "partial 16S ribosomal RNA". It matches the Rfam family "Bacterial small subunit ribosomal RNA", at positions 30 to 507 of the family's 1533-position model. The record is from RNAcentral.